UACGAAGGGGGCUAGCGUUGCUCGGAAUGACUGGGCGUAAAGGGCGCUUAGGCGGCUUACAUAGUUAGGCGUGAAAUUCCUGGGCUCAACCUGGGGACUGCGUCUAAUACAUGUAGGCUUGAGUGUGAAAGAGGGUCGUGGAAUUUCCAGUGUAGAGGUGAAAUUCGUAGAUAUUGGAAAGAACACCGGUGGCGAAGGGGGCGACCGGGUUCAUUACUGACGAUGAGGCGCGAAAGCGUGGGGAGCAAACAGG
Molecule: ribosomal RNA, 253 nt
Filed under: uncultured bacterium
Lineage: Bacteria
Description: partial 16S ribosomal RNA
Rfam family: Bacterial small subunit ribosomal RNA
Source: RNAcentral